UGGGGAAUCUUGCGCAAUGGGCGAAAGCCUGACGCAGCCAUGCCGCGUGAAUGAUGAAGGUCUUAGGAUUGUAAAAUUCUUUCACCGGGGACGAUAAUGACGGUACCCGGAGAAGAAGCCCCGGCUAACUUCGUGCCAGCAGCCGCGGUAAUACGAAGGGGGCUAGCGUUGCUCGGAAUUACUGGGCGUAAAGGGAGCGUAGGCGGACAUUUAAGUCAGGGGUGAAAUCCCGGGGCUCAACCUCGGAGUUGCCUUUGAUACUGGGUGUCUUGAGUGUGAGAGGGGUAUGUGGAACUCCGAGUGUAGAGGUGAAAUUCGUAGAUAUUCGGAAGAACACCAGUGGCGAAGGCGACAUACUGGCUCAUUACUGACGCUGAGGCUCGAAAGCGUGGGGAGCAAACAGGAUUAGAUACCCUGGUAGUCCACGCCGUAAACGAUGAUUGCUAGUUGUCGGGAUGCAUGCAUUUCGGUGACGCAGCUAACGCAUUAAGCAAUCCGCCUGGGGAGUACGGUCGCAAGAUUAAAACUCAAAUGAAUUGACGGGGUCAUAGCUGUUUCCU
This 560-nucleotide ribosomal RNA is filed under the name uncultured bacterium. RNAcentral describes it as "partial 16S ribosomal RNA". It matches the Rfam family "Bacterial small subunit ribosomal RNA", at positions 355 to 1375 of the family's 1533-position model. The record is from RNAcentral.